Molecule: long non-coding RNA, 785 nt
Organism: Quercus robur (English oak)
Lineage: Eukaryota; Viridiplantae; Streptophyta; Magnoliopsida; Fagales; Fagaceae
Exons: 2
Source: RefSeq, a predicted model, not a curated record
GUUGGGGCAUUAGUGUAGUCAAAAUUAGGGUUUUUGGUAAGUCUACAUAUGCACCUUUGGACCUACACGCUCACACUCACGAAGCUCCGCGGACAGCAUCACUUCCAAAACCCUAUUUUCACAUAUUUAGCGUCCCAAAACUUCAAUCAUUGAUGGGCGGCAGCCCCAAGACUCUUAGGAAGCCCUAAAACCCUCUAAAUGACCCUAAAAACCUUAGUUUAAGCACAUACAUAUCAUUUUAUGCCUCCAACUCCAAAUCGAGAUAGAGAGAGUGCCUCCAUAUUUUAUUAUACCAUAUUUUUAAGUUUUGAUUAACAAAGAACUAUUGACGCAUAAGCCUUUUCUAGAGUCUCUUUAAACUUGUGAUCCAUUAGUAAGCUUACCCGUGCUGAGUGUGAGGAGCUGAUCUUGUUGGCCGGGAAUCUCAAGCUAGAGGUGGCCAAUUAUUCAUAGAGGAUCUAUGGCUCUGACGGCUACUUUUGGAGGGCCAGUGGCAGUGGCGGAGGCGGAGGCGGAGGCGGAGGCCAUGAUAAUGAUCAUGAAGAUAGAGGUGAGAGCACUAAGGCUACACCUUCUAGGAGAGAAUGAGUACCUGCACAACAACAACAAACAGAUCUUGCUUUUUCUUCCUUUUAAUUAUUUGGCUUUUACUUUAUGCACUUUUCUUUAUUUGAGACAUAGGUUUGUACUUAAUAAUAUCUUUUAUACUUAUGCUUUUAUUUUGGAAUAUGUACUUAUUUAUAGUAAUUAAACAGGGAUUUCUAUAUGAAAUGUGUGCUUGUAUA